UNUGACUUGAGUGCAGAAGGGGAGAGUGGAAUUCCAUGUGUAGCGGUGAAAUGCGUAGAUAUAUGGAGGANCACCAGUGGCGAAAGCGGCUCUCUGNUCUGUCACUGACGCUGAGGCUCGAAAGCGUGGGUAGCGAACAGGAUUAGAUACCCUGGUAGUCCACGCCGUAAACGAUGAGUGCUAGGUGUUAGGCCCUUUCCGGGGCUUAGUGCCGGAGCUAACGCAAUAAGCACUCCGCCUGGGGAGUACGACCGCAAGGUUGAAACUCAAAGGAAUUGACGGGGGCCCGCACAAGCGGUGGAGCAUGUGGUUUAAUUCGAAGCAACGCGAAGAACCUUACCAGGUCUUGACAUCCCGAUGCUAUUCUUAGAGAUAGGAAGUUACUUCGGUACAUCGGAGACAGGUGGUGCAUGGUUGUCGUCAGCUCGUGUCGUGAGAUGUUGGGUUAAGUCCCGCAACGAGCGCAACCCUUAUUGUUAGUUGCCAUCAUUAAGUUGGGCACUCUAGCGAGACUGCCGGUAAUAAACCGGAGGAAGGUGGGGAUGACGUCAAAUCAUCAUGCCCCUUAUGACCUGGGCUACACACGUGCUACAAUGGUCGGUACAACGAGUUGCGAGCCGGUGACGGCAAGCUAAUCUCUGAAAGCCGAUCUCAGUUCGGAUUGGAGGCUGCAACUCGCCUCCAUGAAGUCGGAAUCGCUAGUAAUCGCGGAUCAGCACGCCGCGGUGAAUACGUUCCCGGGCCUUGUACACACC
This 755-nucleotide ribosomal RNA is filed under the name uncultured bacterium. RNAcentral's name for it is "bacterial SSU rRNA". It matches the Rfam family "Bacterial small subunit ribosomal RNA", at positions 636 to 1391 of the family's 1533-position model. The record is from RNAcentral.